RNAcentral lists this ribosomal RNA (449 nucleotides) under uncultured bacterium. Its description in RNAcentral is "bacterial SSU rRNA". It matches the Rfam family "Bacterial small subunit ribosomal RNA", at positions 29 to 501 of the family's 1533-position model. The record is from RNAcentral.
AACGAACGCUGGCGGCGCGCUUAACACAUGCAAGUCGAACGAGGUCCCCGUUUCGGAUGGACGACCUAGUGGCGCACGGGUGAGUAACGCGUGGGAACCUGCCCUUGGCUACGGGACAACCGCGGGAAACUGCGGCUAAUACCGUAUAAUGCAGCUCUGUAUGGAGUUGCCAAAGAUUUAUCGGCGAAGGAGGGGCCCGCGUUAGAUUAGCUUGUUGGUGGGGUAACGGCCUACCAAGGCUCUGAUCUAUAGCUGGUCUGAGAGGACGAUCAGCCACACUGGGACUGAGGCACGGCCCAGACUCCUACGGGAGGCAGCAGUGGGGAAUCUUGGACAAUGGGGGAAACCCUGAUCCAGCGACGCCGCGUGGGUGAAGAAGGCCUUAGGGUUGUAAACCCCUUUCACCGGGGAGGAUGAUGACGUUACCCGGAGAAGAAGCACCGGCUAAC